Molecule: ribosomal RNA, 1359 nt
Filed under: uncultured bacterium
Lineage: Bacteria
Description: bacterial SSU rRNA
Rfam family: Bacterial small subunit ribosomal RNA
Source: RNAcentral
GAUGAACGCUAGCUACAGGCUUAACACAUGCAAGUCGAGGGGCAGCAUGAUUGAAGCUUGCUUCAAUCGAUGGCGACCGGCGCACGGGUGAGUAACACGUAUCCAACCUGCCGAUAACUCGGGGAUAGCCUUUCGAAAGAAAGAUUAAUACCCGAUAGCAUAGUUUUUCCGCAUGGUUUCACUAUUAAAGAAUUUCGGUUAUCGAUGGGGAUGCGUUCCAUUAGAUAGUUGGCGGGGUAACGGCCCACCAAGUCAACGAUGGAUAGGGGUUCUGAGAGGAAGGUCCCCCACAUUGGAACUGAGACACGGUCCAAACUCCUACGGGAGGCAGCAGUGAGGAAUAUUGGUCAAUGGACGAGAGUCUGAACCAGCCAAGUAGCGUGAAGGAUGACUGCCCUAUGGGUUGUAAACUUCUUUUAUACGGGAAUAAAGUGGAGUAUGCAUACUCCUUUGUGUGUACCGUAUGAAUAAGGAUCGGCUAACUCCGUGCCAGCAGCCGCGGUAAUACGGAGGAUUCGAGCGUUAUCCGGAUUUAUUGGGUUUAAAGGGAGCGUAGGCGGGUGCUUAAGUCAGUUGUGAAAGUUUGCGGCUCAACCGUAAAAUUGCAGUUGAUACUGGGCGCCUUGAGUGCAGCAUAGGUAGGCGGAAUUCGUGGUGUAGCGGUGAAAUGCUUAGAUAUCACGAAGAACUCCGAUUGCGAAGGCAGCUUACUGGACUGUAACUGACGCUGAUGCUCGAAAGUGUGGGUAUCAAACAGGAUUAGAUACCCUGGUAGUCCACACAGUAAACGAUGAAUACUCGCUGUUGGCGAUACACAGUCAGCGGCCAAGCGAAAGCAUUAAGUAUUCCACCUGGGGAGUACGCCGGCAACGGUGAAACUCAAAGGAAUUGACGGGGGCCCGCACAAGCGGAGGAACAUGUGGUUUAAUUCGAUGAUACGCGAGGAACCUUACCCGGGCUUAAAUUGCAGUGGAAUGUAGUGGAAACAUUACAGCCUUCGGGCCGCUGUGAAGGUGCUGCAUGGUUGUCGUCAGCUCGUGCCGUGAGGUGUCGGCUUAAGUGCCAUAACGAGCGCAACCCUUAUCUAUAGUUACUAUCAGGUCAUGCUGAGGACUCUAUGGAGACUGCCGUCGUAAGAUGUGAGGAAGGUGGGGAUGACGCCAAAUCAGCACGGCCCUUACGUCCGGGGCUACACACGUGUUACGAUGGGGGGUACAGAAGGCAGCUACCUGGCGACAGGAUGCUAAUCCCUAAAACCUCUCUCAGUUCGGAUUGGAGUCUGCGAACCCGACUCCGUGAAGCUGGAUUCGCUAGGAUUCGCGCGUUCGGCCACGGCGCGGUAAAGACGUUCUCCGGGCC